RNAcentral lists this long non-coding RNA (843 nucleotides) under Felis catus (domestic cat). RNAcentral describes it as "lncRNA (ENSFCAG00000041984.2)". Lineage: Eukaryota; Metazoa; Chordata; Mammalia; Carnivora; Felidae. The record is from RNAcentral.
CUUGUUACUUCGUAUGUAUUUGAAGUAAAAAGCCCCAUAUUAUGAACGUAUAUAAUAUAUUCUUUUUCUUUCUUACAGGAUGAGUAAAAGUGAAGUGUUCCUUUUCUGUUGUGAAGGCUGCUGUCUAGUUGAGUUGCUUCUCUAGCAAGAACAGUCAGUGUCAUUAAUUUUUUCCCUGUACUGUGUGGGUUGUGGAACAUGAAACUGACUUGAUUGAUCACAUUGCCGCUUCGGAGGCAGAAUUUCCUCUAGCCCAGUGUUUCUCAAGCUCCAAUGUGCAGCAAAAUCUCCUGGAGAUCUUGCUAAAAUGCAGAUACUGAUUCAACAUAUCCAUGAAGGGGCCCAAGAUUCUGCAUUUCCAAAAAGAUCCUUGGUGGUGCUGAGGCUGCUGGUGUAUGGACUACGUUUGGACCAGAAAGGUUUUAGUCCAUGCGAAUGCUGCCUGCAGAAAGCCCCUGGAGCCAUUUCUAGUUUGUGGAUGACUUUGGAGUUCUGCCUGCCUCCCUGUGUCUGCCAGGAUUCCCGGAGAAUGCUUCCUUAUCAUAUAUUGCUAAGGCUUGUUGUUUGGUGGUCAAAGUCGGCCCGCGGGAGCUGCAGGACUGAAACCAAGAAUGUCGUCAUUAAUUCAAAGAUACCUGAAGGCAGAGGAGAGAACCUUUUGGCUUUGGGUCCAUAACUCAGUUUUGCAGUAGGGAAGACCAGAACAGCCAAGAAUUACUGACAUGAUGUGGGAAAAGCUGAAGAAGUCAGUAUUUGGGGUUUAUUUUUAUUCAGGAGGUGGCUUGAGAUGGAUUAAUGGCAAAUCACAAUAAAUUAUUUAUCAGAUAAUAAGUGUGAUAAUUG